Molecule: non-coding RNA, 63 nt
Organism: Salmo salar (Atlantic salmon)
Lineage: Eukaryota; Metazoa; Chordata; Actinopteri; Salmoniformes; Salmonidae
Source: Rfam
UUGUUUUUUUAGGUUUAGACUUUUGUGACUUUUAAGUGAGAAAAUCUAAACCUAAAGAAAAUA